RNAcentral lists this long non-coding RNA (6394 nucleotides) under Sus scrofa (pig). RNAcentral describes it as "lncRNA (ENSSSCG00000054083.1)". Lineage: Eukaryota; Metazoa; Chordata; Mammalia; Artiodactyla; Suidae. The record is from RNAcentral.
GUUGUGGGUUCUUUUUGUGGGGAUAAAUAUGUUCAACAUGAGAUAGCAGUGAUGAUGUGCAGUGUGUUGAAAGCUAUGGGAGCGUGCACUUCAGAAAGGUGAAUUUUAUGAUAGGUGAAUUUGAUCUAAUUAUUUCUAUCUAAGUACAAAUGUUACUAUGUCUCUCUAUUGAUAUACAUAUAUCUAUAACUCUAUUUAUCUAUGAUCUACCUAUCUAUCUACCUGUCACUUAUCUAUGUUGGACAUCACUAUUCUUCAUCUCAUCAUUGUUAGAAGUGAAAAAAGCCACCCUGCUCUGGUAGAUUCCACAGGCCAAACUGUUCUACAAGACAAAACUAUGCAUUCUUUGUAAGGAAAAAUGGCAAUGCACACAUGCAACUCUGAUUUUUAAACAUUUUUAUUUCUUUUUUUUCACUAUAAAAUUUUUCAUGUGAUAAUGUUCCCAAGAAAUUCCUAGCACUCUCACAGAAGAUGUGACUGUCUUAUUGUAAAGGACUCUGACUAAUUGUCAUUCCCUCUCUGUUCUUGCUGUUUUUUUGUUUUUGUUUUUGUUUUAAGUUUAAUUGGGAGCCAACUCUGCUGGCUUCCAAGCUCUGUCACUUAAUCAAGUCACAGAAUCUACCAUUAAGCUAGUCCUCUCUUUCCUUUCAUUUAUUCCUCCAAAUUCUUAAUCUCAAAUAUUAGAGUCAAAAGAAAGUGAAGGUUCUUUCCUUCAUAUUUGAAAGAGGAGGAUCUGAUCUAGGGAAUUCUAAACAAAAACAGUGGUUAUAAAUUUGUUAUAAGGGUGUUUCCGUCUGUUUCUCUCGGAACAGACAGCAUGCUUAAAUUGGAUCCUCUGUGAGGGUAUAAAAAGUUGUACACAGAGCCUGGGAAACACAAGGAAUGAUAAGGGAUUCCCCUUGGGUCCCUUCCUGUCCUGGGGCUGCAGGUGCAGAGGGAAGGUGGACUUAAUCUCUUCAAAGAGACAAGACCAUUGGCAGGAGUCAUGGCCUUGUGAAGACCCUCCAGGAUAGAAGGCAAAGGAGUAUAACCCCCAGCUCACUCCCUACUCUCUCUUAAAAUUGCUCAAGUGACCAGCACUGUCCAAGCAAACUGUAUGCUGAGUCAGGAGAUUCUGUUUCACCUAGUUACAGGGGUCGUGGAGAAGGAUGUAGCAUUGAUGUGAAGAGCGAGAGAGGGUCCCUGUCAUAGUACACGUUAGAAAUCCCCCACAUUCUGAAUGUUACUCCCAGUUCCACAGAGAACCACUUAGGACUCCAUAUGCUUUAUCAACAUCAUCUAAUUUAUUCUACAAAAUAAUUUAGUCACAUAGGACUUUUUAUUUUUUUCUACUUUUUCAAUGAGGACACACAAGUUCAGGGAGAUUACUUGCCCAGAAUUUCAGAGAGGUCUUGGAAGAACCAGGAUUUCAUUCUAGGUCUGGUUGACCCCAAAGGCAUGUUCUUUUCCUUGUAUGAAGUUGAUACUCACCUUAACAAAGUACAGUUGUCCAGCAUCAAAUGUUUCUUGUUCCUCAUAAAACUUACUGAAAAAUAACAAAAGGAUGUCCAAAUUGCAAUACCUUGUCUUUUAAUCACAGGGCCAAGUAAACUCAUUCCAUGGGGCAGGUAGGGAAUAAAAUACCUGAGAAAGUCAAGCAUGUGGACUGCAAGGGUGUAAUGAAAUGUGUACCACUACUGCAUGUUCUCUCCUCCGAAUGUCAAAGAGGUGAGAUGGGGUGAUGAGAGACCUUAAAGGAUCCCUUUGUCUAGAGAUUUGAUGUAUGUACCAAAUAUAUUCCAGCAAUUAAACAUGAGUUUAUUAAAUAUGUUUGAGCUUGUAAAAUGCCAUCUUGAAAGAUGGAUGAGAUUUUGAAAAAUAAUAGACAGCUAGUUUCUGACCUCAGAGAGCCCAGCCCUCUUUUUAGGCAACAAUCUACUGUAGGUGAGAGGCAAGAUAGCUAAAUGGAUGAUAAAUGGAUACAUGGAUGGAUGGAUGGAUAAUAUUUGAUGCAUGGAUGGAUGGGUGGAUAGAUGGAUAGAUAGGUAGGUAGAUCAUAGAUAGAUAAUUGUAAUUGAUAGAUAAAAGAUAAGUAGAUAGAUAAUAGAUAUCUGAUGGAUAUAUGGAUGAGUGAAUGGAUAGAUGAAUAGGUAGGUAGAUGAUAGAUAGACAGUGGAUAGAGAGUAGAUACCUGAUAGAUGGAUGAGUGGAUGGAUAGAUAAGUAGAUAAUUGACAGAUCAAUAAAAAGGUAUACACAUAUAUGCUGGGUACCCUCUUUCAACUAUUUAUUCAUUUGCCUGAUCACUAAAUAGUUGUCAAGUACUAAUAGUAUAUCAGUUACUGGGUAUUUAAAGAUAAAGUAUAUGUAGUCAUUGUCCUAUGGAGUGAACAGUCUAGUAGUGAAUUCAUAGAGAGAGACAGAUACUGAUAACUCGGUGAAUACUACUUACAGAUCUCUGCACAACAUACUUUUCACAUAUCACACAAGGAGAGCUGCUGAAUCUAGAGAUUAAAGGUAAGAUAUGAUUAAAUUUUAAUUUAUUUAAUUUAGAUUAUAAAUGCUAGAGAUGCUAUUAAUUAAUAGAUGUAGAUCAGUAUGGGUUGAGGUAGCUGGCAAAGUCCUCCAAAAGUGUUGGAAACUGAGCCCUGAAAAAUGAAAAUGUUUGGAUGGUUGGAAAGACAAAGAAUUUUAUUAUUGGCUUCAGGAAUAGACCAUGGAUUCCUGGCUCAUUAAGGGUGUUUAAUAAAGGCAAAGAUAGUAAAUAAGGAACACUUUUUUGUAACAAGAAUGACAACAAAGAUUAAAAUUCUGCGUGCAGGAAGAAAGUGCUACAAAAGAAAUGAAUACAUCAAAGGCAAAACUUUAAAUUGUCAUCCCACCAUAUAUACAAGUGGGCUAUUUAUAGACAACUCACUGGCAACCCCAGGCACCAGAGAAAAGAGCCUUUCCAUCUCCAUUUCCAAUUAUUGUACUAGAACACUUCAAAGUAAGCAAAUCUAAAAUCCAAUCCAGGCAGUAUGAGCUUUGGGAACACAAGGGGUUGUGUCUCUUUUGUUAAGAGGAUUUCAGAGGAUGGGGAAGACAGGAAAGGUGGCACUUAAAGGCAGUUGUUCUAUACGACAGAAUUUUCAUGGUAAAGCAGCACCAUAGGAAUCCUCUCUCUUCUCAAGCAACAUCAUCUCCAGACCAGACAUGUUUAUAAAGGGGCAGGACAGUAUGCUAGUGCUCCAUCUUUCCAAAGCAAGCAACUGGCUUGUGUGCUCAGGGCAAGCCAACAUGGCCAUCUUUGCUGCAGUCGUUGACUUUGCCUUUGAAUAACUGUGUCCCAAGAGAUCCCCAGAGCUACCGCCUCUUCUCCUAUCACUUCACUGAACAGAGAUCUCUAGAAAGGGAUAGCAGUAUCUUCCUUUAAAUGUCUCCUGAAAGAGAACUUCCACCAACAAUGUGGCCAGGUAACAUACUGUAAAAUCUUUAAAAAGGAAGCAGCAGAGUUUCUUAGAGCAUAUUAAUAAGAUGACAACUACAAAAACUGAGAAGUUCAACAGAAAGAUAAAUAUGAAAAUUUAAACCAAAAAGUAAAUCAUCAGUGAAUUUAGAUAUGUUCCUUUUUAACCAAAAGGAAUGAUCCUCAACAAAAAGUGAGUUCUAGUUUGUAUAGUCCCUGAGGUCAGAACCAGAAUUCUUCCACAGAUUCGUAAAAACAUCAUUGAUCACAAGCAAAAAAUCAGAAGAAACAAAAGAUCACAGGAAAUAAAAUAGCUAAUAAACAUCUUAAAAAAAAAAAACAAACAGAAUCCUGAGAACGUUAGAUGAAUUCCUAUUUGUUAACCAUAUUCAUCUCCCCUCCCCAACCCUAUCACAGGAAUAUCCGUGGCUGCUUUCUGUAGCAUGACAGACCCCCAGCUCCUUUUUUAAAUCCUCAUUUUACUCAGACCUUAUUCUCUCCAGAUUCCCUUGGCCAGUUUGUCUCAGCUUUGCCCAGGAUAGUUCUUUACAUUACAUUACUCUUCUGGGCUCCAUCUUUCCCUUUAUUUCUAAUUUUAUAGAAUCUCCCUGGAAAUUAAAUGUAUGUUCCUGUAAACAAAUUCCAAUUGUGUAUUUCUGCUUCUUACAUCCACCAUGAAUUGCAGAUUCAUUUUCCCAAUGUCAUAGUAGUCUCUCUAAUCUCAUCCCCACUCCCCAAAUUUGCUCCCGAUCUUUUUUCACACUAAUUAAUCAGGUGGUCUAGCCACUGACCCAGGCUGGAUCUAGCAUUUGCUGUAACUAUUUCUCCCCCUCAUCCUCUGACUUUAAUUGCCUUUCAAGUCCUACCAAAUAUACAUCAUACACAUUCCUUGAAAAUAGCUCCUGUAUUCGGUCUCCCCCAUCAUUCCACUAGUUGAGACCCUCACCUCUUUUCAUGAAAUAUUGUAGCAGCCUUCUUACUAAUUUCUCCCUGUUUCCAUUUUCUCCUCCCUUGGGUAUAUUUUCCAGGCAGGCACCAUAUUUCUUGCUCCAAAAUAUAAAUAUUAUAUCUUUGUUUAUAAACCUUCCUUGGUGUCUACAGUAUUAAAUCAUACCACCUUAGCCUUUGAAACCCAUCCCCAAGUCCUGAUGUCCUACCACCCCAUGUGUAUAUCCUCUGCCCCCAUCAGCACACACUCUGUUGCUCAUUAUGCCUUAAAUACUCCUCCCUACAAUUGUUAUUCCCUCCACCUGGAGCAUCAUCAUCACUUAUAUGUCUACGUCAUGCCUUCUCUUUCUCUGGUCCCUGUGACAUAUAAACAAGUUCGUUCUUUACUAAUUUUCAGAGCCAAGCUUUGCACUGGGGGUCACCGUGGGCAUCCCCUUAGUGAAACACACACUGUGUGCUAUAUGAAACUUUCAAGAUAUGUAAACCUCAAAAUAGAUCACACACAAGUAAUGAAACUUCCCCUAAAACAUUGCUCACAGCUUCUCUACCUUGUGAUAAAAAUGGUCCACUCUUUGCAUGCUGCAUCUUAAUUAAUUUCUUGGAACACAUACGACAAGAGGUGUGCAGCAAAUCAAUAGAAUAAUAUUUUUAGUGAAAUAAUGAUUCUAUACCAUCUUCCCUCUCCAAGUCUUCCUGCAGAGGUCACAUAUUACGUAUUUCUGAUACUUUUGAGAAAUAGAAGAUAAAUUUUAACUGUAUGGGGAUGAACCUCUGGUCUAAGUCCUGUACUUUGCCCAGUUUCCCAGUGAGACUGCGCCCUAGUUGCCCACAGGGUUCAGUUGCUUAGUGAUGCACUGUUAAUGUGCUUCUUAUCUCCCCUUCUUUCUCUCCUUAUCUCCUCUGGUCCUGCCUUUCUGCUGUUUCUCAGCAUCACCUCCAAAGUAACCUAUUCACUCUCAAGUCAUUUUCUUAGACUCAACGUAGGAGGAAACCCUGCAGGACACAUAAGAAUAGCUGAGAAUAUUCUCAGAGAAUAAUUGCAUUUUUCUAGGGGUUUUUAACCUACAGAAAUUAAAUGAUUUGUUUAUGCUGUGAUGGGAUAUUAAAGGUAGUGUUUUUGAACAGGAGCAUGAGUAUAUUCAUGUGUGGGUGUCUGGAUUUCAGUAUCUCUUGGCUGAAGUGGUUCCUUUUCCAAUUAACUACAAUAGCAUCUCCCUUGUUCCCAAGGCUGUUUUGUUAGAACCAUUUAGUUGAUGAUGGAUUUGCACAUGGAUCAGGGAAGCUAGAUCUGUAAGUUAAAAGAUUCAAGAUGCCAAAUCUUUAGACUGUGCUCUUCGGAGGGUGAAUUGAACCCAUGUAAAGUACAAACACAUCACCAGUUAGGGUUCUUCUUAGAAGGAAGUAUUUAAAGGGUUCUAAAUGAUUCCACUUACUCUAUUUUUCUGUAGUUCCUUAGAUAAAAGAAAAUGUAAAGAAACCUGGUUUAUUUGAACUUUGAUUCAUAUAGAAUUAGAAAUUGCAGUGGGUCUUGUAUUUCUUACACUAGUCAAAAUGCUGGCUACAAACUGGGAUCUUUCUGUUCACAUCUCCAGAGACUUAUCUUCAUAUAUUUAUUCAGCUACCCUCCACUCUUAUUCAAGUGCUGUUGUCAGCAGGCAAAGCUGUGCGUGUAAAGUAUGUGGUGCGAUAAAUAAGAAGGUGAUAAAGGGAAAAACUUAACCGCUAUAAAUGGAAGUCACAGUACAGUUAAUUUGAAACAGAGCAGUUAAAAUUAAGCUCCAAAUAAACAGCACAGCUUUUUUUUUUUUUCUGGGAAGCUCCUUUAUCAGUUUUCCAUAUAUUCAAUUUUAAUUUUUUUAUUUGUCAUGAGUUUAUAUAAUGUAUGUACACAUUUUUUGGCAUGUGAAUCAAGAGAAAGUCAGCCUCCUUGAAGUGAUUUAUUCUUUAUCUUUUUAUUUAUCCUUUCCUAUAAUGGUGCUAAUUGCUUCUUCUUCUUAAGUUAUUACUUGAACUAAUUUAG